GAUGAAGAACGCAGCGAAAUGCGAAAAGUAAUGUGAAUUGCAGAAUUCAGUGAAUCAUCGAAUCUUUGAACGCACAUUGCGCCCGCCAGUAUUCUGGCGGGCAUGCCUGUCUGAGCGUCAUUUCAACCCUCACGCCCCUAGGGCGUGGUGUUGGGGAUCGGCCAGCGCCCUCGCGGGCGAGGCCGUCCCCUAAAUCUAGUGGCGGACCCGUCGUGGCCUCCCCUGCGAAGUAGUGAUAUUCCGCAUAGGAGAGCGACGAGCCCCUGCCGUUAAACCCCCAACUUUCUCAGGUUGACCUCAAAUCAGGUAGGACUACCCGCUGAACUUAAGCAUAUCAAUAAGCGGAGGA
This 349-nucleotide unclassified non-coding RNA is filed under the name soil metagenome. Its description in RNAcentral is "partial contains 5.8S ribosomal RNA, internal transcribed spacer 2, and large subunit ribosomal RNA". The stretch from base 1 to 120 matches the Rfam family "5.8S ribosomal RNA", at positions 35 to 154 of the family's 154-position model. The record is from RNAcentral.